UCCGUAGGCGGGCGAUUAAGUCAGAGGUGAAAUCCCACAGCUCAACUGUGGAACUGCCUUUGAUACUGGUUGUCUUGAGUUACAGUGAAGUAGAUAGAAUAUGUAGUGUAGCGGUGAAAUGCAUAGAUAUUACAUAGAAUACCGAUUGCGAAGGCAGUCUACUAACUGUUAACUGACGCUAAGGGACGAAAGCGUGGGGAGCGAACAGGAUUAGAUUACCCUGGUAGUCC
RNAcentral lists this ribosomal RNA (230 nucleotides) under uncultured bacterium. Its description in RNAcentral is "partial 16S ribosomal RNA". It matches the Rfam family "Bacterial small subunit ribosomal RNA", at positions 568 to 796 of the family's 1533-position model. The record is from RNAcentral.